CUGCUCCUUCGGCCAGGGGAGUCCUUGUUCUCCGCGCUUCAGCGCUUCCGCGCUUCCGGGUUUCUGGCUCUGGGUUCCUGGCUCCGCCCGGGAAAGUUGGGGAAACCUGAGCACGCCCAUUUCAUGGAUGGCACUACGGAGGUCAUGGCUCUGAGGAUUGUCCAGGGCACCGCAGUCCACCCGCUAGCUAGGAAACAGAAGACUGUGUGGACCAGGAGCAGGAUAUAGGAUGAGAGCCAUACAGGUUUCCCCAGAAUGGGCUCUGGAAUCGAGGCCCCGGCUACAAGUACCAAGCCAAAGAUCACACGAGUCUCCAGGCGCAGGGGAGAUCUUGAGAUCCUGUUUGGGGUCGUUGUGAAAAAGGACCCUGCUACUGCAAGGCAGGCGGCAGAACCACUGAGCCAAACCCCGGCCCCUGACAGGAUUUUCUCUUCAGAUCUACCAUGCAGACCUCCUCAUCUGUCAAGGACUACUCCCUCCCCAGCCCUGAGGCUGACCGUGGAUCUCUCAGAAUAAAGGCCAAAGUCCUGCAGUGCCAUCAGACCCACGUGUCUUAGCUCCUUCCUCCCCUCCCC
RNAcentral lists this long non-coding RNA (575 nucleotides) under Heterocephalus glaber (naked mole-rat). RNAcentral describes it as "lncRNA (ENSHGLG00000050021.1)". The record is from RNAcentral. Lineage: Eukaryota; Metazoa; Chordata; Mammalia; Rodentia; Bathyergidae.